RNAcentral lists this ribosomal RNA (1423 nucleotides) under Escherichia coli BIDMC 71. RNAcentral describes it as "bacterial LSU rRNA". It matches the Rfam family "Bacterial large subunit ribosomal RNA", at positions 1528 to 2925 of the family's 2925-position model. The record is from RNAcentral. Lineage: Bacteria; Pseudomonadati; Pseudomonadota; Gammaproteobacteria; Enterobacterales; Enterobacteriaceae.
UUUUCCAGGCAAAUCCGGAAAAUCAAGGCUGAGGCGUGAUGACGAGGCACUACGGUGCUGAAGCAACAAAUGCCCUGCUUCCAGGAAAAGCCUCUAAGCAUCAGGUAACAUCAAAUCGUACCCCAAACCGACACAGGUGGUCAGGUAGAGAAUACCAAGGCGCUUGAGAGAACUCGGGUGAAGGAACUAGGCAAAAUGGUGCCGUAACUUCGGGAGAAGGCACGCUGAUAUGUAGGUGAAGUCCCUUGCGGAUGGAGCUGAAAUCAGUCGAAGAUACCAGCUGGCUGCAACUGUUUAUUAAAAACACAGCACUGUGCAAACACGAAAGUGGACGUAUACGGUGUGACGCCUGCCCGGUGCCGGAAGGUUAAUUGAUGGGGUUAGCGGUAACGCGAAGCUCUUGAUCGAAGCCCCGGUAAACGGCGGCCGUAACUAUAACGGUCCUAAGGUAGCGAAAUUCCUUGUCGGGUAAGUUCCGACCUGCACGAAUGGCGUAAUGAUGGCCAGGCUGUCUCCACCCGAGACUCAGUGAAAUUGAACUCGCUGUGAAGAUGCAGUGUACCCGCGGCAAGACGGAAAGACCCCGUGAACCUUUACUAUAGCUUGACACUGAACAUUGAGCCUUGAUGUGUAGGAUAGGUGGGAGGCUUUGAAGUGUGGACGCCAGUCUGCAUGGAGCCGGCCUUGAAAUACCACCCUUUAAUGUUUGAUGUUCUAACGUUGGCCCCUGAUCGGGGUUGCGGACAGUGUCUGGUGGGUAGUUUGACUGGGGCGGUCUCCUCCUAAAGAGUAACGGAGGAGCACGAAGGUUGGCUAAUCCUGGUCGGACAUCAGGAGGUUAGUGCAAUGGCAUAAGCCAGCUUGACUGCGAGCGUGACGGCGCGAGCAGGUGCGAAAGCAGGUCAUAGUGAUCCGGUGGUUCUGAAUGGAAGGGCCAUCGCUCAACGGAUAAAAGGUACUCCGGGGAUAACAGGCUGAUACCGCCCAAGAGUUCAUAUCGACGGCGGUGUUUGGCACCUCGAUGUCGGCUCAUCACAUCCUGGGGCUGAAGUAGGUCCCAAGGGUAUGGCUGUUCGCCAUUUAAAGUGGUACGCGAGCUGGGUUUAGAACGUCGUGAGACAGUUCGGUCCCUAUCUGCCGUGGGCGCUGGAGAACUGAGGGGGGCUGCUCCUAGUACGAGAGGACCGGAGUGGACGCAUCACUGGUGUUCGGGUUGUCAUGCCAAUGGCACUGCCCGGUAGCUAAAUGCGGAAGAGAUAAGUGCUGAAAGCAUCUAAGCACGAAACUUGCCCCGAGAUGAGUUCUCCCUGACUCUUUAAGGGUCCUGAAGGAACGUUGAAGACGACGACGUUAAUAGGCCGGGUGUGUAAGCGCAGCGAUGCGUUGAGCUAACCGGUACUAAUGAACCGUGAGGCUUAACCUU